RNAcentral lists this long non-coding RNA (1013 nucleotides) under Calidris pugnax (ruff). RNAcentral describes it as "lncRNA (ENSCPUG00000006221.1)". Lineage: Eukaryota; Metazoa; Chordata; Aves; Charadriiformes; Scolopacidae. The record is from RNAcentral.
CUCCUUGGGGUCCCACAGGUCCCUGGAGGGGCCCAAGUUGUGUGUCUGUGUCUGAUGGCAGCUCCUGUGUGCCCAGGGCGCUGCGGGCUCCAUCCUGAGGGGUCCGGGGAUCCCCGAGGACACUGGCACCAGCAUCUCCUUGGUCAUGGCCACCAUCCUCCGCAGCCUGCUGGGCCCCACGGUGGGGGCAGGACAGCGCGUCCUCCAGGGCAUGGAGAGGGCCCUGGACACGUCCCAGCAGUGGCUGAACCAUCACCUGCCCCUGGGCCAGAGGCAGGAAGAGCACAGGGCUGGAGAGGGGCCGGGUUCAGACUCGGCCGGGGGGGUCCAGCCCAGACACCCCCUUCCCCUCAGCUCCCUCCCCGAGGACGUCAGGAUCCAAACCCUGGCCCUGGUGCAGCAGCUCUGGCAGGACCGGCUGGACGCCCACCACCUCCUCACCCAGCUCCAGCACAUCCUCGACCUGAUGGAGACCGUACGAGAAAGCUUGGAGGGGCCACUCCAUGAGAGCCGGGAGCCGUGGGGGCACAGGAACGUGGUGCAGGCCACCCCCUGCCCACACUUGGCCUGUCCCCGCUGCCGGGCGAGGCUGCCCAGGGGGUCUGGGACCCCCACGGUGCCACGGGUGCUGGCCGUGGGUCGGAUGCUGGUGCAGCGGGUGCAGGACACCGUGGUGCAGGCAGCGUGGGGAGCCCAGCGUGGCGUGGCCAAGCUCUGCCGUGCCAUCAGCAGUGCCAGGUCCCUGCCAGAGCUGCUGGGGACCGUGGUGGCCCGAGGACGCGAGGUGGUGGCCCAAGCUUGGGACACUCUGGUGGUUUUUGUGCUCCAGCACCUGACUUUGCUGCGGUUGGAGGGUGCCGGACGAGCAACCCCACGCAUCGCCCCACAGCACCCCCAAAAGUAAGGGUGCCCCACAUCCAACUGGGUCUGAACCCCCCCACCCCAUCCCGGGUGGCACUAAAAUGGCUCUGCCCACGUUCAUGUCCGUGUCUUGGUGUUAUUCUGUCCCCCCC